Molecule: ribosomal RNA, 542 nt
Filed under: uncultured bacterium
Lineage: Bacteria
Description: bacterial SSU rRNA
Rfam family: Bacterial small subunit ribosomal RNA
Source: RNAcentral
ACGCAAUAGAUACCCGGGUAGUCCAUGCCGUAAACGUUGGGCACUAGGUGUGGGGGACAUUCCACGUUUUCCGCGCCGUAGCUAAACGCAUUAAGUGCCCCGCCUGGGGAGUACGGCCGCAAGGCUAAAACUCAAAGGAAUUGACGGGGGCCCGCACAAGCGGCGGAGCAUGCGGAUUAAUUCGAUGCAACGCGAAGAACCUUACCAAGGCUUGACAUGAACCGGACCGGGCUGGAAACAGUCUUUCCCCUUGUGGGCUGGUUUACAGGUGGUGCAUGGUUGUCGUCAGCUCGUGUCGUGAGAUGUUGGGUUAAGUCCCGCAACGAGCGCAACCCUCGUUCUAUGUUGCCAGCACGUGAUGGUGGGGACUCAUAGGAGACUGCCGGGGUCAACUCGGAGGAAGGUGGGGACGACGUCAAAUCAUCAUGCCCCUUAUGUCUUGGGCUUCACGCAUGCUACAAUGGCCGGUACAAAGGGUUGCGAUACUGUGAGGUGGAGCUAAUCCCAAAAAGCCGGUCUCAGUUCGGAUUGGGGUCUGCAAC